GACGAACGCUGGCGGCGUGCUUAACACAUGCAAGUCGAACGGAAAGGCCCUGCGUUUGUGGGGUGCUCGAGUGGCGAACGGGUGAGUAACACGUGAGUAACCUGGCCUUGACUGUGGGAUAACUUCAGGAAACUGGGGCUAAUACCGGAUAGGAGCUCCUGCUGCAUUGCGGGGGUUGGAAAGUUUCGGCGGUUGGGGAUGGACUCGCGGCUUGUCGGGCUGUUGGUGGGGGAGUGGCUUACCAAGGCUUUGACGGGUAGCCGGCCUGAGAGCGUGGCCGGCCACAUGGGGCCCGUGCUACGGCCCACACUCCUACGGGAGGCAGCCGUGGAGAAUAUUGCACGAUGGGCGGAGGCCUGAUGCAGCAACGCCGCGAGCGGGAUGACGGCCUUCGGCUUGUACACCGCUUUCGCCUCUGCCGCAGCGUGUGUGCCGCUAAUCGGUACAGACGCACCGGCUAACUACCUG
RNAcentral lists this ribosomal RNA (468 nucleotides) under uncultured bacterium. Its description in RNAcentral is "partial 16S ribosomal RNA". It matches the Rfam family "Bacterial small subunit ribosomal RNA", at positions 28 to 507 of the family's 1533-position model. The record is from RNAcentral.